GGGGGGGGGGUGGCAGAAGCUCUGGGAAGCAGGUGAGGGGGACAGAUGCAGAGGCUGGGCACUGUGGGGCAGUGGAUGCAGUAGGUUUCAGUGGAGACAAGUAAGGAGCAAGGAAGUCAGUUGUGCCCAUCACGUGCCCCCUUACUGCUACUUUCCAUGCUGUAGCUGUAGGGGGAUGAUUUUAAGACGACUCUGAUAAUUCAAUUCUAUGCAUGGAAAAUUAUAACAAACAUAUAUCUUCUAUCUAUAGAAUCUAAUUAUUUGGUGGGGAAGGUUGACUUAGCUGAUUUAAUACUUUAAAUUUCAAAGUAGUAUCCUGACAAAAUAAAAUUCUGGACGAUAUCCUUUAAUGUCAGUGACUCUUUUCCACUUAAUAUAAUAGGCUAGCACAUACUGCAUUUGAUUUAAGCACAGAGCAACUGCUCUGCCAUGUUCCUCUCCUAACUCUUAAUGAGGUAACAUAGGGGAGGGAGAAAAACUUGAAAGUUCCAUGAUGUGACACAGCUUUGAACUUUUCUGAAGUGUGUGUCUGAUCUCAAGCAAGCUGAAAUUGACCUAGUUAAACUUUUUUUUUUUUUUGUCAGCUUGGUGCUUCUGAAAGGUCGGCUACAACUUAGUCACUUGAAUACUAUCUGACUGCAGCUGUUGCUGACAACUUGCAUGAGAGAAACAACAGAUCAACAAAGAGCACAAGUCUCCUUAAGAGAAGACCAUCACACAAAAUGACAUUGGUCCUUCUGGAUGGGCAGAUUUUCUAGAAAUGUAAAGGUACAGAGCAACGGAAAGGGAAUAUUUACUUAGCUACAUCUUCUACAGGCUGCAGAAGGGGAAGAGGCCUGAAACUUGAAUGGCAGCUGUAGUAAUACACGCCUCCGGAUUCAUUACCCCAGCCCAUAGCAGUUUGUUCUAAUUCUAGUAUUAAAAGGGCAUUGAAUAUCAUA
Alligator mississippiensis (American alligator) is the source of this 941-nucleotide long non-coding RNA. RefSeq lists it as uncharacterized. The record is from RefSeq and is a predicted model, not a curated record. NCBI's taxonomy places the organism in Eukaryota, Metazoa, Chordata, Crocodylia, Alligatoridae. The transcript is spliced from 3 exons.